This 305-nucleotide ribosomal RNA is filed under the name uncultured bacterium. RNAcentral's name for it is "bacterial SSU rRNA". It matches the Rfam family "Bacterial small subunit ribosomal RNA", at positions 334 to 656 of the family's 1533-position model. The record is from RNAcentral.
UGUUCCUACGGGACGCAGCAGUGGGGAAUAUUGCACAAUGGGGGGAACCCUGAUGCAGCGACGCCGCGUGAGUGAAGAAGUAUUUCGGUAUGUAAAGCUCUAUCAGCAGGGAAGAUAAUGACGGUGCCUGACUAAGAAGCCCCGGCUAACUACGUGCCAGCAGCCGCGGUAAUACGUAGGGGGCAAGCGUUAUCCGGAUUUACUGGGUGUAAAGGGGGCGUAGGUGGCAGGGCAAGUCAGAUGUAAAAGCCCGGGGCCCAACCCCGGAACUGCAUUUGAAACUGUCCGGCGGGAGGGCAGGAGAG